This 438-nucleotide ribosomal RNA is filed under the name uncultured bacterium. RNAcentral's name for it is "partial 16S ribosomal RNA". It matches the Rfam family "Bacterial small subunit ribosomal RNA", at positions 339 to 795 of the family's 1533-position model. The record is from RNAcentral.
CUACGGGUUGCUCCAGUGAGGAAUAUUGCACAAUGGGGGGAACCCUGAUGCAGCAACGCCGCGUGGAGGAUGACGCAUUUCGGUGUGUAAACUCCUUUUAUAUGUCAAGAAAAUGACGGUAGCAUAUGAAUAAGCGCCGGCUAACUCCGUGCCAGCAGCCGAGGUAAUACGGAGGGCGCAAGCGUUACUCGGAAUCACUGGCGUAAAGGACGCGUAGGCGGGUUGAAAAGUCAGGUGUGAAAGCCUACAGCUUAACUGUAGAACUGCACUUGAAACUCUCAACCUAGAGUAUGGGAGGGGCAGAUGGAAUUAGUGGUGUAGGGGUAAAAUCCGUAGAUAUCACUAGGAAUACCUAAAGCGAAGGCGAUCUGCUGGAACAUUACUGACGCUAAGGCGUGAAAGCGUGGGGAGCAAACAGGAUUAGAUACCCUAGUAGUC